AUGUUUCUUCAAGUUGCCAAGCUUGUUUGCUGAGGCACUCAGCACGAUAAUCUGUAUAUGGACAUUGGAAUUUAUAGAAGCUUUGUGGAGAAGGCAGAUUCAGAGACAGGAGGCCAGCCGUGAGGUUUGACAUUGAAGAGAAGGAAGGUAGAGCUUUACAUGUCAAAAAAUAUGCGUAGCCGUGAAUCAAAGUUAUUGUCGGACAUCUCCUCCCAGAAUUCCUUGAGCUGUUCUUUGGUUAUCCCAUCAGCUGGUUCUAUCUUCCUUCUCCUCGACAAUGCCACAAACACCUCGCUUGCGAAUUCCUUGGAGUCCGCCAUACCUUUACGAGGCAGAGCCGUUCUGGGCUUUAGAGGUUCAGUUUGUGCAUUGUAGGAACCAGUUUCAAAAAGAUAGAUUGCUAUUGUGAUGUCAGUUUUACAGGGUACGUCUGUAACUAUGUCCAGUGACGUGCUCAUAAAUUUGCUAUUCUUGCUGCGUGGUAAGAACCAAGGAGCAUCUGAAGGCUUACACUUGGAAGCCAAAUUCUGAAGUCCGUAAAAAAGUAAUUGAUCAAGUUUAUAUCCUCUGAAA
This is a long non-coding RNA of Brachypodium distachyon (stiff brome), 573 nucleotides long. RefSeq lists it as uncharacterized. The record is from RefSeq and is a predicted model, not a curated record. The transcript has 2 exons. NCBI's taxonomy places the organism in Eukaryota, Viridiplantae, Streptophyta, Magnoliopsida, Poales, Poaceae.